This 321-nucleotide unclassified non-coding RNA is filed under the name plant metagenome. Its description in RNAcentral is "partial contains 5.8S ribosomal RNA, internal transcribed spacer 2, and large subunit ribosomal RNA". The stretch from base 1 to 105 matches the Rfam family "5.8S ribosomal RNA", at positions 50 to 154 of the family's 154-position model. The record is from RNAcentral.
GAAAUGCGAUAAGUAAUGUGAAUUGCAGAAUUCAGUGAAUCAUCGAAUCUUUGAACGCACAUUGCGCCCGCCAGUAUUCUGGCGGGCAUGCCUGUUCGAGCGUCAUUACAACCCUCAGGCCCCCGGGCCUGGCGUUGGGGAUCGGCGGAAGCCCCCUGCGGGCACAACGCCGUCCCCCAAAUACAGUGGCGGUCCCGCCGCAGCUUCCAUUGCGUAGUAGCUAACACCUCGCAACUGGAGAGCGGCGCGGCCACGCCGUAAAACACCCAACUUCUGAAUGUUGACCUCGAAUCAGGUAGGAAUACCCGCUGAACUUAAGCA